AGCGAAAGCGUUAAGUAUUCCACCUGGGGAGUACGCCGGCAACGGUGAAACUCAAAGGAAUUGACGGGGGCCCGCACAAGCGGAGGAACAUGUGGUUUAAUUCGAUGAUACGCGAGGAACCUUACCCGGGCUUGAAUUGCAGGAGAACGAAACAGAGAUGUUGAGGUCCUUCGGGACUCCUGCGAAGGUGCUGCAUGGUUGUCGUCAGCUCGUGCCGUGAGGUGUCGGCUUAAGUGCCAUAACGAGCGCAACCCCUCUCCCCAGUUGCCAUCGGGUGAUGCCGGGCACUCCGGGGACACUGCCGCCGCAAGGUGCGAGGAAGGCGGGGACGACGUCAAAUCAGCACGGCCCUUACGUCCGGGGCUACACACGUGUUACAAUGGCCGGCACAGAGUGUCGGUGCGGCGCAAGCCGCAUCCAAUCUUGAAAACCGGUCUCAGUUCGGACUGGGGUCUGCAACCCGACCCCACGAAGCUGGAUUCGCUAGUAAUCGCGCAUCAGCCACGGCGCGGUGAAUACGUUCCCGGGCCUUGUACACACCGCCCGUCAAGCCAUGAAAGCCGGGGGUGCCUGAAGUCCGUGACCGCGAGGAUCGGCCUAGGGCAAAACUGGUGAUUGGGGCUAAGUCGUAACAAGGUAACC
This 642-nucleotide ribosomal RNA is filed under the name uncultured bacterium. RNAcentral describes it as "bacterial SSU rRNA". It matches the Rfam family "Bacterial small subunit ribosomal RNA", at positions 850 to 1501 of the family's 1533-position model. The record is from RNAcentral.